This 2003-nucleotide long non-coding RNA is filed under the name Malus domestica (apple). RNAcentral describes it as "long non-coding RNA (MDOM_LNC009798)". Lineage: Eukaryota; Viridiplantae; Streptophyta; Magnoliopsida; Rosales; Rosaceae. The record is from RNAcentral.
AUGUAUGAUAAAUAAACACGAUUAAUAAAUUUCCGAGAUAUUCACAAAAAGAUCCGGAUCCAUUCUCUCGCUCAAUAGAAGAGUCAAAAUAAUUUCCACACAAUUUUUUUUUUUCCACAAAUUAGUUGGUGAUGAGACGAUGGUAACUGUGGUUGGCAGGUGACGGAAAACAAAAGCGACGGGUCCCCUCUGCGGCUCUGCGUCAGUCAUAUCUCCACCUUGGUAAUCAUGAACGCAGCUGACGAGAACACUUUUCAUUGGGAUUCUGAGACGAUGAAUGUGUAAUAUUACUGAACUGCCACCGGUUAAAUAUAAAUGUUAAGUUCUAAAGUUAUAACAUCUAAUUUAAUAUUUGGGUGUGGAACCAGUUAUAUGUGUGUGCGUGUAUUAUUGGCAAUGCAGUAGCUUUCAGGCCCUCGAAACCUUCCACUGUUGUGUUUCACAGUGGAGCUUCGAACUCCAUUGCCGUAGCUAGUCUCAUGCAAGUGAAUAUUCUGCUCGUGUGUCAGAUUAUAUAUCUCUCGGGCUGGACGGAAGAACACAUAUGUUAUUUCUAUAAUUUCAUAUGUUAAUAAAAAUGACAAAAAUAAUAAUACCUUACUUGUCAGGAAUACAGUGCAAAGUUUUUUUUUUGGAAAAACUGCUACAACAAAGCCAGGGCUAAGAAGCCAAACAAACAGAAAGCCAACAGAAGCCAAACAAGCAGCAUAAGCAAGACAAGCUGUGCAGGGAUUUACAAGAAAAGAGACGCAGCACCUCAUGCCCAGGCGUCAUCCCUGCAAAGCUAAAAAAACUAAUGAGUACACGGCAAACCAUCAUUGUUUAAGACACAGUGCAAAGUUUUUUUAAGAAAAAAAAUAUAAGGUGGUCAAAUGGGACUGAAGAACGAGCUAGAAACCAGAAAGGAAGAAUACUUUGAAUAGGCAUGGCAAUUGACAUCCAGAUGCUUUCGCUUCCGAGUUCCUUCCUUCCACCAUUUUAUUUAGUUUAUGAUAUUAUUGUGUGUAUAAGAUGACAAUAAUUGUCAUGUGAAAAGUGCAGAAGUUGCCUCAGAAUCAGAUUGCACUCACACUCAUCGCUCCUUACUCAAACAUUUUUGGUCCUCACCGAACAGUCAACACAUGCUAUUGCUUGUGAUUCACUAAAUUAUUAAACUCAUUGGUCCAACUGCGUACAUGCAUUAACUUUACCAGCGAUAUAUAUCGUCGAUAUUACUGAUGAUAUAGCUUAUGCUUUUUCCAAUGUUAUAGUUGUUGAUAUUUAGUUGAAAAUGUAAUUAACUUUGACAUGUAAUGAAUGUUUUAACUAUCUAGAAUGUGGAUUACUCACAAAUUGUGUUUUUUGUUAUGCAUAAUUUUUUACAUGAUUAUUGUUCAGUGAUGACUUAAAAUGAUGUUUAAAUUAUGUAAAAUAUAUAUGGUAACGUUAAACGAGUGAUUGACAUUAAAUUGAUUAAUUAAAUAGCGUUUGAACAAUAUUACGUAUUUUAAAACUACUAUGUGUCUUAUAUUGGUCUCAUUUUACUUUUUAUUAUUUUGACGAUGGGGUAAUAUACUAAUAUAUAUAGCAAGGACUACAUCUGUUGAUGGGUUUGGGAAAUUGUGCAUUUCCAUGGUUGAAAAUAGGAUAUAAAAUGGGGGAGGAGAGGACCAUUGUUCCCAGUAUUAUCCUAAUUAAUAUAUUUAUUCUGUUUAAUUAUGCAUAAAGGAGUGUACUAUUCACGCACAUUUUUUUACUUCUCUCAUAUUCCUUGUUAAUUUUUGUCAUUUGAUAUUUUUCAAUUUAUCCAAUCCAACGGCAGAAAAUUAAAAGGAUGUGAGAAAAGUAAAAAAUGAUGUGUGGAUAUCACAUCCCAUACAUAAAACGUAAGCCACUGCCUGCCAUUGAAAAGUUUAAUUAUGCAUGUAAUUGAAAAGUUUAAUUAUGCAUGUAAAUAAAAAGUAUAGAAUAAUAUGGUGGAUGGUGGAGGUGCCAUUGAAAUGAGAUUGGAACAUAAGAAUCUU